UUCAUAUAUUACCAGGACUCUUCUUUGUUUAAUACUUGUUUUCUUUGAGUAGUUUCAAAGUUUAACUAACUUCUUUUCUGCUUGAAUCGAUAGUGAUGGACGCGUCUAACAUAAAAAUAGGUCGUUGAUAAUGUAAGUACUUUCCAUAUUGUUUAAUUUUUUUGUGUUAGACUUUCUUAUGAUUAUUGAAUAUAUGUGGCCCUAUCUUGAUAAGGUUUAUCUGUUUCAUCAGCAGUAUCCAUUCUUAAGUCAUUCUAUCAACUUUUUUGUUGGUUAACUAUGUUAAUUCCACCGGUCACGCUGCCACAUAUUUUAUUUGCCCUUUCCUUUUUUAUUUCCCCCCUCUUUUUGUAGCUUCUCCAUUUCUUAUGCAUUUGUUUAUAAUUUUUUUUUGUUUUUUCUUGACACAGACAAUAUGCAAAACAACAAGAAAUAUUACCUAACCUAUAAAUGCAGAGCAAAUUCCCAAAUUUAAGAUCGAUUCUGUUGAAUUUGAAACACUCACACUAGGGUCCUUGCCGCCAACUUUUCAAGAUUGGCUCUACUGUUGGUGGUACUUAUUUUAGCUCAUGAAUUGGAGGUAGUAGAGGAUGCAGAAUGCAAGUUUAUUUGAAGCCAAGUUUCAUUCAAGGUCAUUGAGUUGGGUUGAUAGAAGUAAUGUUUUGUAUAUGACAAUAUUGAACAAAUAUGUAAAGUUUUCAAAAUGUUAAUACAUAUAUGGUAAAAUGUUAAUAUAUGUUAAAGUUUUGGAA
Long non-coding RNA from Cucumis melo (muskmelon), 752 nucleotides. RefSeq lists it as uncharacterized. The record is from RefSeq and is a predicted model, not a curated record. The transcript has 2 exons. Lineage: Eukaryota; Viridiplantae; Streptophyta; Magnoliopsida; Cucurbitales; Cucurbitaceae.